RNAcentral lists this ribosomal RNA (245 nucleotides) under uncultured bacterium. RNAcentral's name for it is "partial 16S ribosomal RNA". It matches the Rfam family "Bacterial small subunit ribosomal RNA", at positions 524 to 768 of the family's 1533-position model. The record is from RNAcentral.
UACGAGGGGGGCGAGCGUUGUUCGGAAUUAUUGGGCGUAAAGGGUGCGUAGGCGGUUUGAUAAGUCUUGUGUGAAAUCUCUGGGCUCAACCCAGAGUCUGCAUAGGAAACUGUCGGGCUUGAGUAUGGGAGAGGUGAGUGGAAUUUCCGGUGUAGCGGUGAAAUGCGUAGAUAUCGGAAGGAACACCUGUGGCGAAAGCGGCUCACUGGACCAUUACUGACGCUGAUGCACGAAAGCUAGGGGAG